AUGUCGUACGCCUACCUCUUCAAGUACAUCAUCAUCGGCGACACAGGCGUGGGCAAGUCAUGCCUGCUGCUGCAGUUCACCGACAAGAGGUUUCAGCCCGUGCACGACCUCACCAUCGGCGUCGAGUUCGGCGCCCGCAUGAUCACCAUCGACAACAAGCCCAUCAAGCUCCAGAUUUGGGACACGGCUGGCCAAGAAUCAUUCAGAUCUAUAACAAGAUCAUACUACAGAGGUGCUGCUGGUGCUCUUUUGGUUUAUGAUAUCACCAGGAGGGAAACUUUUAACCAUCUUGCGAGCUGGCUAGAAGAUGCAAGACAGCAUGCAAAUGCCAAUAUGACAGUGAUGUUAAUCGGAAACAAAUGUGAUCUGUCUCAUAGACGGGCUGUCAGCUACGAGGAGGGUGAACAGUUCGCCAAGGAGCAUGGUCUAGUCUUUAUGGAGGCAUCUGCAAAAACAGCACAAAAUGUUGAGGAGGCAUUCAUUAAGACGGCUGGAACAAUAUACAAGAAAAUCCAAGAUGGUGUUUUUGAUGUAUCUAAUGAGUCCUACGGAAUCAAAGUUGGCUAUGCUGUCCCCAAUGCAUCUGGAGGUGGUGCUGGCUCGUCCUCUCAAGCAGGUGGCUGCUGCAGUUAA
This 633-nucleotide ribosomal RNA is filed under the name Triticum aestivum (bread wheat). RNAcentral's name for it is "partial small subunit ribosomal RNA". The record is from RNAcentral. Lineage: Eukaryota; Viridiplantae; Streptophyta; Magnoliopsida; Poales; Poaceae.